GACGAACGCUGGCGGCAGGCCUAACACAUGCAAGUCGAACGAGUGGCGGACGGGUGAGUAAUGUCUGGGAAACUGCCCGAUGGAGGGGGAUAACUACUGGAAACGGUAGCUAAUACCGCAUACCAUCGGAUGUGCCCAGCUGGGAUUAGCUAGUAGGUGGGGUAAUGGCUCACCUAGGCGACGAUCCCUAGCUGGUCUGAGAGGAUGACACUCCCCACUGGAACUGAGACACGGUCCAGACGCCACCAAUACCACCACUUUAAUAAUAUUGCACAAUGAGCGCAAGCCUGAGUCAGCCAUGCCGCGUGUAUGAAGAAUCCCUUCGGGUUUUAAAGUACUUUCAGCGAGGAGGCGUUACUCGCAGAAGAAGCACCGGCUAACUCCGUGCCAGCAGCCGCGGUAAUUC
RNAcentral lists this ribosomal RNA (406 nucleotides) under uncultured bacterium. RNAcentral describes it as "partial 16S ribosomal RNA". It matches the Rfam family "Bacterial small subunit ribosomal RNA", at positions 28 to 526 of the family's 1533-position model. The record is from RNAcentral.